GAUGAACGCUAGCGGCAGGCCUAAUACAUGCAAGUCGAGGGGCAGCGGGAGUCUUCGGACUUGCCGGCGACCGGCGCACGGGUGCGUAACGCGUAUGCAACCUGCCUUCGAGCGGAGGAUAGCCCAGAGAAAUCUGGAUUAAUACUCCGUAUGCCCACGCGACCGCAUGGUCAAGUGGGGAAAGAGUUUCGCUCGGAGAUGGGCAUGCGUCCCAUUAGGUAGUUGGCGGGGUAACGGCCCACCAAGCCGACGAUGGGUAGGGUCCUGAGAGGGUGAUCCCCCACACUGGUACUGAGACACGGACCAGACUCCUACGGGGCAGCAGUAGGGAAUAUUGGGCAAUGGACGAGAGUCUGACCCAGCCAUGCCGCGUGAACGACGAAGGCCCUCGGGUCGUAAAGUUCUUUUGCAAGGGAAGAACACCAUCCAUGCGUGGAUGUCUGACGGUACCUUGCGAAUAAGCACCGGCUAACUCCGUG
RNAcentral lists this ribosomal RNA (479 nucleotides) under uncultured bacterium. RNAcentral's name for it is "bacterial SSU rRNA". It matches the Rfam family "Bacterial small subunit ribosomal RNA", at positions 28 to 507 of the family's 1533-position model. The record is from RNAcentral.